AUUACAAGGUGAUAGAUAUAGAAAUAUUCUGCAAAAGUAACAUUUCGUCACUUUUAUUUUCUUCACCAUAGUCAUCUCUUUUGCUUGCAAAAUUGAGGUACUUGUGUUGAGAAUUUGGGGAGGGUUUGUGAAUAAAAAGUGACCUAGAGAUCAUGGACUUCCUUUUUGGUGUUGAAGUUAUGAGCAUUUUCCAACUAUGGAGUUGUCAAAGUCUGUUUCAAAAGAAUAGGGUUUUUGGUUGAAAAAGAAAGAAGCGUUCUUCCAUCUAUAUCAUUUUGGGUAGCUUUGAUUCAGUCCUUGGGGGGCUUUUUCAUCGUUCUUGCAAGGGUUUUGAAGCUUCAUUGAGGUCAUGGCACAGAUGGUUUGGAGGGUGUUCCUCCUCAGCUGUAGACAGAGUCGGGUUGGUGUUGUCAUGUUUUCAUUCCGCAUUUUUGACUAUGUUUUGUAUUAUAUUUCUUAGAAUAUCCCAAGCAUAAUAAAUAUUCUUUAAAACUUUAAAGUUGUAAUAUUUGUUUUUUUAUCUAUUUAUUUUUAGUCUUGUUUUUGUAAA
Long non-coding RNA from Cornus florida, 550 nucleotides. RefSeq lists it as uncharacterized. Lineage: Eukaryota; Viridiplantae; Streptophyta; Magnoliopsida; Cornales; Cornaceae. The record is from RefSeq and is a predicted model, not a curated record. The transcript has 2 exons.